Molecule: transfer RNA, 73 nt
Filed under: Canis lupus familiaris (dog)
Lineage: Eukaryota; Metazoa; Chordata; Mammalia; Carnivora; Canidae
Also listed under: 3 other names
Rfam family: tRNA
About the family: Transfer RNA (tRNA) molecules are approximately 80 nucleotides in length. Their secondary structure includes four short double-helical elements and three loops (D, anti-codon, and T loops).
Source: Rfam by way of RNAcentral
GCCAGGCUGGCUCAGUUAGUUGAGCAUGUGACUCUUGAUCUCAGGGUUGUGAGUUCGAGCCCCACACUGGGCA